UUCGUAGGUGGUGCGGCAAGUUGGAAGUGAAAUCUCUGGGCUUAACUCAGAGGCUGCUUUCAAAACUGCCGUGCUCGAGUGCGAGAGAGGCCAGUGGAAUUGCAGGUGUAGCGGUGAAAUGCGUAGAUAUCUGCAGGAACACCCGUGGCGAAGGCGGCUGGCUGGAUCGCAACUGACACUGAGGAACGAAAGCUAGGGGAGCAAACAGGAUUAGAUACCCUGGUAGUCCUAGCCCUAAACCAUCAGGACUUGGGGUGGCCCGCGUAGGCGGGUCGUCCCGUAGCUAACGCGUUAAGUCCUGCGCCUGGGGAGUACGGUCGCAAGACUGAA
RNAcentral lists this ribosomal RNA (330 nucleotides) under uncultured bacterium. RNAcentral describes it as "bacterial SSU rRNA". It matches the Rfam family "Bacterial small subunit ribosomal RNA", at positions 568 to 898 of the family's 1533-position model. The record is from RNAcentral.